Molecule: ribosomal RNA, 300 nt
Filed under: uncultured bacterium
Lineage: Bacteria
Description: bacterial SSU rRNA
Rfam family: Bacterial small subunit ribosomal RNA
Source: RNAcentral
CGUGUCGUGAGAUGUUCGGUUAAGUCCGGCAACGAGCGCAACCCACAUCUUUAGUUGCCAUCAGUUCGGCUGGGCACUCUAAAGAAACUAGCCCGUGAUAAGCGGGAGGAAGGUGUGGAUGACGUCAAGUCCUCAUGGCCCUUACGGGUUGGGCUACACACGUGCUACAAUGGCAGUGACAAUGGGAUAAUCCCAAAAAACUGUCUCAGUUCGGAUUGUCGUCUGCAACUCGACGGCAUGAAGUCGGAAUCGCUAGUAAUCGCGUAACAGCAUGACGCGGUGAAUACGUUCCCGGGCCUU